Molecule: long non-coding RNA, 2813 nt
Filed under: Elaeis guineensis (African oil palm)
Lineage: Eukaryota; Viridiplantae; Streptophyta; Magnoliopsida; Arecales; Arecaceae
Description: long non-coding RNA (EGUI_LNC007711)
Source: RNAcentral
CUGGCUCCGAAAAAAUCAUGAUGUUACUUUGCUGACGAGAGUUAACAAUUUAAACCAACCAGUGAGAGUAAUGAUAGCCUAUAUUUUUACGUCUGUAGUUUAUAACGUACACCACCAAGUUUCUUAAGAAAGAAUUUAGCCGUAGAACUAACCAAAGAGUAUUGGAAUCUCAGAGUUCCUCGAGCAGAAUGCGACGCAAGCUUACAUAUUCUGCAACAAGGCAGAGGAUGCUGAUCUGAUUGUUUUGGCCUUCCGCGGCACCGAACCUUUCAAUGCCCAGGACUGGUCGACUGAUGUCGAUCUUUCCUGGCUCUUUACAGGCAAAAUGGGGAACGUCCACCUGGGAUUCCUCAAAGCACUUGGUCUCCAAGAUGAGAAGAACUUCCUUAAAGGGUUCCCUAAGGACUACAAUAGCGCUCCUGACAAACCUGUGGCAUAUUAUGCCUUAAGAGAACAACUCAGGUCUCUAAUCCAACAACACAAGAAUGCAAAGAUUGUUGUGACUGGACACAGCUUGGGUGGUGCACUCGCAGCCAUCUUCCCUGCUUUGCUUUCCUUCCAUAAUGAGAAUGAUAUUUUGAGUUCCAUGUAUGGUGCCUUGACUUACGGGCAGCCAAGAGUUGGAGAUGCUCUCUUUGGGACUUAUAUCGAAACCAUUGUGAGAUUGAAGCAUUACAGAAUGGUGUAUAGGUAUGAUAUCGUCCCUCGAGUCCCAUUCGAUCUGCCUCCGGUCGCUCUGUUCAAGCAUUUUGGUACUUGUAUCUACUACAAUGGCUGGUAUAAUGGACAGGUAUGCUUUCUUUUUUAUAGAACGGUACUAGCUAAUGAUGCUGUGCUGCUGUUAGAAUUUGCUUCAUGAAUUCUUACCACAUGUUCAGGUGGUGACAGAAGCCCCAAACGCCAACUACUUUGAUCCGAUGUACGUGAUUCCUGUGUACUGGAGCGCUUGGAGCGACCUCUUCAAGGCUCUCUUCUUGGGUGCAACACAAGGCCGGGACUUCAAGGAAAGCUUUACCUCGAUCAUUUACAGGCUAUUUGGGCUCAUCAUUCCUGGAGUCGCGUUCCACAGCCCAAGAGACUACGUCAAUGGCGGAAGAUUGGCUAAGAUUGCAGACAAGAUUAUGGUCUAAAAAGAAGGAUGAUUUAGAUGCUAUGGUGUGCCGAAGGAAAAUAAGUGUCUGGGUUUAGUGGAUUGUGUUGGAGAAGCCGUUGUUGUCACAUGGUUUGUGUUUGUUUUCCGCUCCUCCUUAUAAUAAAUAAGCAAGUUUUACAAUAAAUGGGCCUGGUCUAUAAUUUGAUAUAAAAUGUGUAGUUUCAGAAUAUGAUAUCGAUCCUGAACUAGUUGAUUUACUAACGAUGUAUGGCCCACAGUUGCUUUUUGCUGAUAUCACCAAUGCAUAAGCCAACAUGGGCCUCGAUUCAUGGUGUUCUUUGCUUGAAGCUUAUGCUUGAUGCUUAUCACUCUUACUCUGGUCAUAAUGUUAAUGCUGCAAAAUUUCACAUCAAUUUCAGUCCCUCUGCUCCCAGAAGAACUAGGAAGUUAAUCAUUAGCCUUUUUAAUAUACCGGUCAAAUGAGGUGUCUGGAAAUCCUUGGGAGUCCUGCUGAUAGGUACGGACCUUACUGCAUCUAACAGAGCUCCUUUUUCAAAUAUUAUUUUUAUUAUUUAUUUUCAAAAAUAUUUCUAUCGCUAACUUAUUUUUCAUUUUACCUUGGGGAUCAUGCCACGCGUGCAAUCAUGGGUUCAACAUAAGAUUUUAACACCGUCUCAACUGAAAUCAUAGGUUAAAUCUAUCAUGAUUUUGAAUUUAGCUGACCAAAAUCAUGGGUUCACAUUUUUGCUGGAUAAUGUGCCAAUCUGAAAUCGUGAAUUCAACUCAUGAUUUUAGUAAAAUCAUAGAUUAAACUUGUGAUUUCACUUGAAAAUCAUGGACUCAGCCCGCAUUUUCAUUGAAAUUAACCUACGAUUUCAAUGUUUUUAAGAUCCAAUCUAGCCCACUGUGCUCUCCAUCUACCCGGAAAAUCUCUUUCCUUGUUGAUAACCUAGAUUUUUCACAGUUUUUGAGAAAAGUAAAUCUCAUACAAUUGAAAGAAAAUAGAUAAUUUUGAACAGACCAGAUCAGAAGUCAUAUGGAAACUUUGUAAUAUUGGAAGCCUGGAUCCACAAAAGGUAUCUUGAUUAAAAAAUGGCACCUGCAGUGCCUGCCACUGUUUGCUUAAAAAACAAUAUUUUCUACAGAGUUGGAGAUAGAGAGAGAGAGAGAGGAAGAGAACGAGCAUCGUAGUAAUAUCAGAUGACUAAUUUUUUUAUUUUAAUAUUGCAGAUGCACUUUGUGGGCUUCUUUGAUUGCUGGAACAAUAAGUAUUCUAAUCAAACUGGCUCCAGAAAAAUCAUGAUGUUACUUUGCUGACGAGAGUUAACAAUUUAAACCAAUCAGUGAGAGUAAUGAGAGCCUAUAUUUUCGUGUCUGUAGUUUAUAACGUACACCACCAAGUUUCUUAAGAAAGAAUUUAGCCAUAGAACCAACCAAAGAGUAUUGGAAUCUCAGAGUUCCUCGAGAAGAAUGCGACGCAAGCUUACAUAUUCUGCAAUUAGGCAGAGGAUGCUGAUCUGAUUGCUUUGGCCUACCGCGGCACCAAACCUUUCAAUGCCCGAGACUGGUCGACUGAUGUCGAUCUUUCCUGGCUCUUCACAGGCAAAAUGGGGAACGUCCACCUGGGAUUCCUCAAGCACUUGGUCUCCAAGAUGAGAAGAACUUCUUUGAAGGGUUCCCUAAGGACUACUAUGGCACUCCCGACAAUCCUGUGGCAUAU